This 253-nucleotide ribosomal RNA is filed under the name uncultured bacterium. RNAcentral's name for it is "partial 16S ribosomal RNA". It matches the Rfam family "Bacterial small subunit ribosomal RNA", at positions 524 to 776 of the family's 1533-position model. The record is from RNAcentral.
UACGUAGGGGGCAAGCGUUGUCCGGAUUUAUUGGGCGUAAAGAGCGUAUAGGCGGCUUGGUAGGUCCGCUGUGAAAACUCGAGGCUCAACCUCGAGAUGUCGGCGGAAACCACUUGGCUAGAGUCCGGAAGAGGAGAGUGGAAUUCCUGGUGUAGCGGUGAAAUGCGCAGAUAUCAGGAAGAACACCUAUGGCGAAGGCAGCUCUCUGGGACGGUACUGACGCUGAGACGCGAAAGCGUGGGGAGCGAACAGG